AGAGUUUGAUCAUGGCUCAGGACGAACGCUGGCGGCGUGCUAAUACAUGCAAGUCGAGCGGAUCUCUGGGAGCUUGCUCCCUGAGAUCAGCGGCGGACGGGUGAGUAACACGUGGGCAACCUGCCUGUAAGACUGGGAUAACACCGGGAAACCGGUGCUAAUACCGGAUAAUUCUUUCCCUCUCAUGAGGGAAAGCUGAAAGUCGGUUUCGGCUGACACUUACAGAUGGGCCCGCGGCGCAUUAGCUAGUUGGUGAGGUAACGGCUCACCAAGGCGACGAUGCGUAGCCGACCUGAGAGGGUGAUCGGCCACACUGGGACUGAGACACGGCCCAGACUCCUACGGGAGGCAGCAGUAGGGAAUCUUCCGCAAUGGACGAAAGUCUGACGGAGCAACGCCGCGUGAGUGAUGAAGGCCUUCGGGUCGUAAAACUCUGUUGUUAGGGAAGAACAAGUACCGGAGUAACUGCCGGUACCUUGACGGUACCUAACCAGAAAGCCACGGCUAACUACGUGCCAGCAGCCGCGGUAAUACGUAGGUGGCAAGCGUUGUCCGGAAUUAUUGGGCGUAAAGCGCGCGCAGGCGGUCCUUUAAGUCUGAUGUGAAAGCCCACGGCUCAACCGUGGAGGGUCAUUGGAAACUGGGGGACUUGAGUGCAGAAGAGGAAAGCGGAAUUCCACGUGUAGCGGUGAAAUGCGUAGAGAUGUGGAGGAACACCAGUGGCGAAGGCGGCUUUCUGGUCUGUAACUGACGCUGAGGCGCGAAAGCGUGGGGAGCAAACAGGAUUAGAUACCCUGGUAGUCCACGCCGUAAACGAUGAGUGCUAAGUGUUAGAGGGUUUCCGCCCUUUAGUGCUGCAGCUAACGCAUUAAGCACUCCGCCUGGGGAGUACGGCCGCAAGGCUGAAACUCAAAGGAAUUGACGG
This 925-nucleotide ribosomal RNA is filed under the name uncultured bacterium. RNAcentral describes it as "bacterial SSU rRNA". It matches the Rfam family "Bacterial small subunit ribosomal RNA", at positions 8 to 916 of the family's 1533-position model. The record is from RNAcentral.